This 22-nucleotide microRNA is filed under the name Monodelphis domestica (gray short-tailed opossum). RNAcentral describes it as "mdo-miR-7371n-5p". Lineage: Eukaryota; Metazoa; Chordata; Mammalia; Didelphimorphia; Didelphidae. The record is from miRBase by way of RNAcentral.
AGUUGUACCAGGUGUUACAUUU